RNAcentral lists this ribosomal RNA (392 nucleotides) under uncultured bacterium. Its description in RNAcentral is "partial 16S ribosomal RNA". It matches the Rfam family "Bacterial small subunit ribosomal RNA", at positions 523 to 918 of the family's 1533-position model. The record is from RNAcentral.
AUACGUAUGGGGCGAGCGUUAUCCGGAAUUAUUGGGCGUAAAGAGUACGUAGGUGGUUUUUUAAGCGGGAGGUUUAAGGCUACGGCUUAACCGUAGUUCGCCUCUCGAACUGGAAGACUUGAGUGCAGGAGAGGAAAGCGGAAUUCCUAGUGUAGCGGUGAAAUGCGUAGAUAUUAGGAGGAACACCGGUGGCGAAGGCGGCUUUCUGGACUGUAACUGACACUGAGGUACGAAAGCGUGGGGAGCAAACAGGAUUAGAUACCCUGGUAGUCCACGCCGUAAACGAUGAGCACUAGGUGUCGGGUCAAAAGGCUCGGUGCCGAAGUUAACGCAUUAAGUGCUCCGCCUGGGGAGUACGUACGCAAGUAUGAAACUCAAAUGAAUUGACGGGG